AUUCUGUAGCAAGGUUAACCGAAUAGGGGAGCCGGAGGGAAACCGAGUCUUAAUUGGGCGUUAAGUUGCAGGGUAUAGACCCGAAACCCGGUGAUCUAGCCAUGGGCAGGUUGAAGGUUGGGUAACACUAACUGGAGGACCGAACCGACUAAUGUUGAAAAAUUAGCGGAUGACCUGUGGCUGGGGGUGAAAGGCCAAUCAAACCGGGAGAUAGCUGGUUCUCCCCGAAAGCUAUUUAGGUAGCGCCUCGUGAAUUCAUCUCCGGGGGUAGAGCACUGUUUCGGCUAGGGGGCCAUCCCGGCUUACCAACCCGAUGCAAACUGCGAAUACCGGAGAAUGUUAUCACGGGAGACACACGGCGGGUGCUAACGUCCGUCGUGAAGAGGGAAACAACCCAGACCGCCAGCUAAGGUCCCAAAGUCAUGGUUAAGUGGGAAACGAUGUGGGAAGGCCCAGACAGCCAGGAUGUUGGCUUAGAAGCAGCCAUCAUUUAAAGAAAGCGUAAUAGCUCACUGGUCGAGUCGGCCUGCGCGGAAGAUGUAACGGGGCUAAACCAUGCACCGAAGCUGCGGCAGCGACGCUGAUGCGUUGUUGGGUAGGGGAGCGUUCUGUAAGCCUGCGAAGGUGGCCUGUGAGGGUUGCUGGAGGUAUCAGAAGUGCGAAUGCUGACAUAAGUAACGAUAAAGCGGGUGAAAAGCCCGCUCGCCGGAAGACCAAGGGUUCCUGUCCAACGUUAAUCGGGGCAGGGUGAGUCGACCCCUAAGGCGAGGCCGAAAGGCGUAGUCGAUGGGAAACGGGUUAAUAUUCCCGUACUUGGUGUUACUGCGAAGGGGGGACGGAGAAGGCUAUGUUGGCCGGGCGACGGUUGUCCCGGUUUAAGCGUGUAGGUGUGUGUUCCAGGUAAAUCCGGUUCACUUUAACACUGAGGCGUGAUGACGAGGCACUACGGUGCUGAAGCAACAAAUGCCCUGCUUCCAGGAAAAGCCUCUAAGCAUCAGGUAACAUCAAAUCGUACCCCAAACCGACACAGGUGGUCAGGUAGAGAAUACCAAGGCGCUUGAGAGAACUCGGGUGAAGGAACUAGGCAAAAUGGUGCCGUAACUUCGGGAGAAGGCACGCUGACACGUAGGUGAAGUGAUUUACUCAUGGAGCUGAAGUCAGUCGAAGAUACCAGCUGGCUGCAACUGUUUAUUAAAAACACAGCACUGUGCAAACACGAAAGUGGACGUAUACGGUGUGACGCCUGCCCGGUGCCGGAAGGUUAAUUGAUGGGGUCAGCGCAAGCGAAGCUCCUGAUCGAAGCCCCGGUAAACGGCGGCCGUAACUAUAACGGUCCUAAGGUAGCGAAAUUCCUUGUCGGGUAAGUUCCGACCUGCACGAAUGGCGUAAUGAUGGCCAGGCUGUCUCCACCCGAGACUCAGUGAAAUUGAACUCGCUGUGAAGAUGCAGUGUACCCGCGGCAAGACGGAAAGACCCCGUGAACCUUUACUAUAGCUUGACACUGAACAUUGAGCCUUGAUGUGUAGGAUAGGUGGGAGGCUUUGAAGUGUGGACGCCAGUCUGCAUGGAGCCGACCUUGAAAUACCACCCUUUAAUGUUUGAUGUUCUAACGUGGACCCGUGAUCCGGGUUGCGGACAGUGUCUGGUGGGUAGUUUGACUGGGGCGGUCUCCUCCUAAAGAGUAACGGAGGAGCACGAAGGUUGGCUAAUCCUGGUCGGACAUCAGGAGGUUAGUGCAAUGGCAUAAGCCAGCUUGACUGCGAGCGUGACGGCGCGAGCAGGUGCGAAAGCAGGUCAUAGUGAUCCGGUGGUUCUGAAUGGAAGGGCCAUCGCUCAACGGAUAAAAGGUACUCCGGGGAUAACAGGCUGAUACCGCCCAAGAGUUCAUAUCGACGGCGGUGUUUGGCACCUCGAUGUCGGCUCAUCACAUCCUGGGGCUGAAGUAGGUCCCAAGGGUAUGGCUGUUCGCCAUUUAAAGUGGUACGCGAGCUGGGUUUAGAACGUCGUGAGACAGUUCGGUCCCUAUCUGCCGUGGGCGCUGGAGAACUGAGGGGGGCUGCUCCUAGUACGAGAGGACCGGAGUGGACGCAUCACUGGUGUUCGGGUUGUCAUGCCAAUGGCACUGCCCGGUAGCUAAAUGCGGAAGAGAUAAGUGCUGAAAGCAUCUAAGCACGAAACUUGCCCCGA
RNAcentral lists this ribosomal RNA (2187 nucleotides) under Salmonella enterica subsp. enterica serovar Chester. RNAcentral's name for it is "partial 23S ribosomal RNA". It matches the Rfam family "Bacterial large subunit ribosomal RNA", at positions 632 to 2802 of the family's 2925-position model. Lineage: Bacteria; Pseudomonadati; Pseudomonadota; Gammaproteobacteria; Enterobacterales; Enterobacteriaceae. The record is from RNAcentral.